GGGAAUGCCACUUUGUCAAGAUCUCCUAACUCAUUAUUUUAAAGCAGACUAGACUUGACCUUAAUAAGGAUCAUUAAGGACAGGCACUCAUCAAAAAUGUAUCUUUUCCUUCUCUCUCUCUCUCUCUCUCUCUCAUUCUCUCUCAUUUCCAAACAGACCUGUCAAUCAGGAUGUGCUUCUGGGGAGACCAUUUCCAUCUCUGGAAAUGGGGUAGAUAGAUCAUCAAGAAUGUAAAAUGCCUCUUUUUAAAAAUACCAUGUGGACGACUAAGGACAAUGGCUUAUUUAAUAGGUUAGGCAGUCCGUUCUCCAUGAAUCACACUGUAUACAUAAUGGUGAUGAAAAUGUUCAGUUUGACAUUUCUUCCUGGCCAGGGAGGAAAUCAUGGGGGUGAAUCAUGGUUUUAGUGAUGACUGUCCUGGGGAAGCUAAAUUGGGAAGCCACAGGUUAAAAAAGGAGUGAGGAGUGAGUCUGUAGCAGGAAAGCAAUGGUCAGACACUCCAGGAAAGCAACAGACACCUCCUAACACCUGGGCAGACCUUGCAGAAAAAAGAGCUGUGGCCCUUCAUGGAGGGAGGGACCCUGAAAGAAAAGGAAACCAUUUAGUGGACUAGGAAAAGAAAUAGGACCUCUAGUUGGGGAAGAGAGAUAAAUGGCUGCCUGUAAAGAGAAGCACAACUGAACACACUCACUCAAGUGAAUAAAAUUCGUUUAAGAGCAAUUGGAUUAGAGAUGGAGAUUUACAUGGAUGACUUUAAAGAAGAGUUGCUGCAAGAGACAGGACAGAUGUUCAUCAGUCAUUUGCUGCAAAACCGUAAACAGUGUUGCUGACUUAGGAUACAAUGUAAGGUGGAAAAAUGAGCCCCUAAAUUGUAAUUAAACUGUGAUUGUAACUAUGCAAAAUAGGUGUGCUAUAGACAAAGACUGGUAAAACCACAGAAAUGAACAUACUAUUAUGUUAAUUGUUGAUGUUAUUUGUUUUCCAUUGCUGAAUUGUGUGGUGUGAAUAUGGGGGGUGGGGUAGGAGAGAAUAAAUAUAGAGUCUAGCUGUAAGACCACUUCGAGAAAAAUCAGAAAGCCUUGUCUGAGUUUCACAGGGCCUCGCCAUCUGUGAACUUAACCUCUCUGAGCCUCAGUGUCCAUUUAUAGAAAUUGAGAACAAUAACACCUGCCCUGUACUAAUGGGGUAGUGAAAGUACUUUGCAAAUCUGAAAUAUUGUAGGAGAUUGUAUGAGGAAUUAAGGUUGGAGUGGUAUAUAGGUUAAAAGUUUAAGAAGUCCAGAGCUCAGAACAUUGUCCUGACUGUUUUUUCUCUGUCACCAUGGAAGCUGCAGAACAUGUGUUAUUUUAGUUCAUAAU
This 1358-nucleotide long non-coding RNA is filed under the name Marmota monax (woodchuck). The record is from RNAcentral. Lineage: Eukaryota; Metazoa; Chordata; Mammalia; Rodentia; Sciuridae.